Molecule: ribosomal RNA, 560 nt
Filed under: uncultured Neptunomonas sp.
Lineage: Bacteria; Pseudomonadati; Pseudomonadota; Gammaproteobacteria; Oceanospirillales; Oceanospirillaceae
Description: bacterial SSU rRNA
Rfam family: Bacterial small subunit ribosomal RNA
Source: RNAcentral
CUACACAUGCAGUCGAGCGGUACAGAGAGAGCUGCUUCUUUGCUGACGAGCGGCGGACGGGUGAGUAACGCGUAGGAAUCUACCGAAUUAGUGGCGGGAUAGCCCAGGGAAACUUGGAUUAAUACCGCAUACGCCCUACGGGGGAAAGCGGGGGAUCUUCGGACCUCGCGCUAAUCGAUGAGCCUGCGUAAGAUUAGCUAGUUGGUGAGGUAAGAGCUCACCAAGGCGACGAUCUUUAGCUGGUCUGAGAGGAUGAUCAGCACACUGGGACUGAGACACGCCAGACUCCUACGGGAGGCAGCAGGGGGAAUAUGGACAAUGGGGGCAACCCUGAUCCAGCCAUGCCGCGUGUGUGAGAAGGCCUUCGGGUGUAAAGCACUUUCAGAUGUGAGGAAAGGUGUGUGCUUAUACGUCAUCUGUGAGUAGCAUCAGAAGAAGGCCGGCUACUCCGUGCCAGCAGCCGCGGUAAUACGGAGGGUCCGAGCGUUAAUCGGAAUUACUGGGCGUAAAGCGCGCGUAGGUGGUUUUGUCAGUCAGAUGUGAAGCCCAGGGUCAACCUG